Molecule: ribosomal RNA, 492 nt
Filed under: uncultured bacterium
Lineage: Bacteria
Description: partial 16S ribosomal RNA
Rfam family: Bacterial small subunit ribosomal RNA
Source: RNAcentral
AGUGAACGCUGGCGGUAGGCCUAACACAUGCAAGUCGAACGGCAGCACAGUAAGAGCUUGCUCUUACGGGUGGCGAGUGGCGGACGGGUGAGGAAUACAUCGGAAUCUACUUUUUCGUGGGGGAUAACGUAGGGAAACUUACGCUAAUACCGCAUACGACCUACGGGUGAAAGCAGUGGAUCUUCGGACCUUGCGCGAUUGAAUGAGCCGAUGUCGGAUUAGCUAGUUGGCGGGGUAAAGGCCCACCAAGGCGACGAUCCGUAGCUGGUCUGAGAGGAUGAUCAGCCACACUGGAACUGAGACACGGUCCAGACUCCUACGGGAGGCAGCAGUGGGGAAUAUUGGACAAUGGGCGCAAGCCUGAUCCAGCCAUACCGCGUGGGUGAAGAAGGCCUUCGGGUUGUAAAGCCCUUUUGUUGGGGAAGAAAAGCAGCAGGUUAAUACCACGCUGUUCUGACGGUACCCAAAGAAUAAGCACCGGCUAACUUCGUG